UUAGGAAUUAAAUGCUGGAGCAUCAAGUCUACGACUGCCAGACUGGGUAACAGCUUCUUCCCUCAGGCUGAGAACCUAAUAAAUAUCCUCGCACCACCAAGGUCUCAUCACGAGCAAUGAAAAUAUGUGCGAAAGUCUGAGAUGCAUAUUCCCACAUAGCUGUCCAGAACACAGCAUGCAACCGUUUGAAUUUUGUUGAGAAAUCUGUCCGCGACCAAGGCAGUUCAUACUGGAUUGGAAAAUGCAACUAUGGGAGAGUGGCCUCGAAUAUCGUGUUCCAAAUGAAGGCUGGAGUCUUCGAAUGCAUUGAAUGUGGAUGGUACCCUCACUUUGAACAUUGCAGU
Molecule: long non-coding RNA, 344 nt
Organism: Hypanus sabinus (Atlantic stingray)
Lineage: Eukaryota; Metazoa; Chordata; Chondrichthyes; Myliobatiformes; Dasyatidae
Exons: 4
Source: RefSeq, a predicted model, not a curated record